This 71-nucleotide transfer RNA is filed under the name Stegodyphus mimosarum. It matches the Rfam family "tRNA". From Rfam's summary of the family: Transfer RNA (tRNA) molecules are approximately 80 nucleotides in length. Their secondary structure includes four short double-helical elements and three loops (D, anti-codon, and T loops). Lineage: Eukaryota; Metazoa; Arthropoda; Arachnida; Araneae; Eresidae. The record is from Rfam by way of RNAcentral.
GCCUUCGUGGUGUAAUGGUAGCGCACUCGGCUGGUAUUCGAGAGAUCCAGGAUCGAGUCCCAGCGACGGCA